GCCGGGGUAGCUCAGCCUGGUUAGAGUGCCAGCCAUUGGCAGUCUUCGGGGCUCUCCAACAGGGCAAUACUCAUAAUCUGGAGGUCGCGGGUUCGAAACCCGCCCCCGGCACUA
This 114-nucleotide transfer RNA is filed under the name Nitrosopumilaceae archaeon. Its description in RNAcentral is "Pseudo tRNA". It matches the Rfam family "tRNA". From Rfam's summary of the family: Transfer RNA (tRNA) molecules are approximately 80 nucleotides in length. Their secondary structure includes four short double-helical elements and three loops (D, anti-codon, and T loops). Lineage: Archaea; Thermoproteati; Nitrososphaerota; Nitrososphaeria; Nitrosopumilales; Nitrosopumilaceae. The record is from RNAcentral.